ACAAAUUUGUGAAGCUUUUCAUACUUAAAUAUAUAUGAACAAUAUUUAUAAGGAGGGUUAUUCUUUUUUGUUUUUUGUAGGUCUGUUUUAAUCUUCAGGUCUGUGAAGUUAAAUUUGGGGAAUUAGGAGAGGCCAUAUCAAAUUUUGUUUAUAUUUAAGCAGUCAAACUAUAUAGUAUUCCUUAAGUUUUGGGAAAUGAACUUGUUUUCAAUUUUAAUUAAAUACUUCUUUUGAUUUGCUUCACUUGUAAUAUAGGAACUGGAAGAGGAGGCAACAGUAUCUGGGGCAAGAAGUUUGAGGAUGAAUACAGUGAAUAUCUUAAGCACAAUGUUAGAGGUGUUGUAUCUAUGGCUAAUAAUGGCCCGAACACCAAUGGAUCUCAGUUCUUCAUCACCUAUGGCAAACAGCCACAUUUGGACAUGAAAUACACCGUAUUUGGAAAGGUAAUAGAUGGUCUGGAAACUCUAGAUGAGUUGGAGAAAUUGCCAGUAAAUGAGAAGACAUACCGACCUCUUAAUGAUGUACACAUUAAGGACAUAACUAUUCAUGCCAACCCAUUUGCUCAGUAGCUAUGAUAGACCUGGACAAAU
This 590-nucleotide small RNA is filed under the name Pan troglodytes (chimpanzee). Its description in RNAcentral is "retained intron". Lineage: Eukaryota; Metazoa; Chordata; Mammalia; Primates; Hominidae. The record is from RNAcentral.